This 65-nucleotide transfer RNA is filed under the name Tenebrionoidea sp. 17 KM-2017. RNAcentral's name for it is "tRNA-Phe". Lineage: Eukaryota; Metazoa; Arthropoda; Insecta; Coleoptera. The record is from RNAcentral.
AUUUGAGUAGCUUAAUUUAGAGCACAAUAUUGAAGUUAUUGGGGUAAUGUUUAUAUUCUCAGAUA